This 113-nucleotide Y RNA is filed under the name Cebus imitator (Panamanian white-faced capuchin). Its description in RNAcentral is "Y RNA (ENSCCAG00000012428.1)". It matches the Rfam family "Y RNA". From Rfam's summary of the family: Y RNAs are components of the Ro ribonucleoprotein particle (Ro RNP), in association with Ro60 and La proteins. The Y RNAs and Ro60 and La proteins are well conserved, but the function of the Ro RNP is not known. In humans the RNA component can be one of four small RNAs -- hY1, hY3, hY4 and hY5. The record is from Rfam by way of RNAcentral. Lineage: Eukaryota; Metazoa; Chordata; Mammalia; Primates; Cebidae.
GGCUGGUCUGAAGGUAGUGAGUUAUCUCAACUGAUUGUUCACAGUCAGUUGCAGAUCGAACUCCUUGUUCUACUCUUUCCCCCCUUCUCACUACUGCACUUGACUAGUCUUAA